AGAUUUAAAGGUCGAACAGACCUAAUUUAUGAGCUACUGCACCCAAAAUUUUUCUUAAUCCAACAUCGAGGUCGAAAUCUGCUUUAUCGAUAUGAGCUCUCUAAAACAAUUACGCUGUUAUCCCUAAGGUAACUUAAUCUUAUGAUCAUAAAUUAUGGAUCAAUUAAACAUAAAUCAAUGAUUUCAUAAUAAAGAGUUUAUUAAUUCUUUAUGUCACCCCAACAAAAUAUCCUAAUUAAAUAUGGAAUUAAUCAUCAAUAAACCAUAUAAAAUUGAAAUAUUAAGCUCUAUAGGGUCUUCUCGUCCUUAAGAAAAAUUUAAGCCUUUUGACUUAAAAGUUAAAUUUUAUUAUUUAAUAAGAGACAGAUAAUUUCUCGUCAAACCAUUCAUCCCAGCCUCUAAUUAAGAGACUAAUGAUUAUGCUACCUUUGCACGGUCAAAAUACCGCGGCUCUUUAAAUAUCUUGUCAGUGAGCAGGCCAGACCUCAAAUUAUUAGCAAGAGGACAUGUUUUUGUUAAACA
Molecule: ribosomal RNA, 522 nt
Filed under: Romalea microptera (eastern lubber grasshopper)
Lineage: Eukaryota; Metazoa; Arthropoda; Insecta; Orthoptera; Romaleidae
Description: partial 16S ribosomal RNA
Source: RNAcentral